RNAcentral lists this ribosomal RNA (486 nucleotides) under uncultured bacterium. RNAcentral describes it as "bacterial SSU rRNA". It matches the Rfam family "Bacterial small subunit ribosomal RNA", at positions 28 to 507 of the family's 1533-position model. The record is from RNAcentral.
GAUGAACGCUGGCGGCGUGCCUAAUACAUGCAAGUCGAACGAGGACCCUUUGUAUUCGUACGGAGGACUCCUAGUGGCGAACGGGUGAGUAACGCGUUGGUGACCUGCCCCGAAGAGGGGGAUAACAGCUCGAAAGGGCUGCUAAUACCCCAUGUGGUCGCGAAGGUUAGAGACUUUGCGACUAAAGGAACGUCCACUACGGUGGGCGCUUUCACUUCGGGAGGGGCCUGCGUCCCAUCAGCUAGUUGGUAGGGUAACGGCCUACCAAGGCGAUGACGGGUAGGGGCCUGAGAGGGUGGUCCCCCACACUGGCACUGAAACACGGGCCAGACACCUACGGGUGGCAGCAGUAGGGAAUAUUGCCCAAUGGGCGAAAGCCUGAGGCAGCAACGCCGCGUGCACGAUGAAGGCCUUCGGGUUGUAAAGUGCUUUUCUGGAGGAAGAGAAAGGACGGUACUCCAGGAAUAAGGAUCGGCUAACUACGUG